Molecule: microRNA precursor, 168 nt
Filed under: Pelobates cultripes (western spadefoot toad)
Lineage: Eukaryota; Metazoa; Chordata; Amphibia; Anura; Pelobatidae
Source: RNAcentral
GCAGACACAUUCCAGCCAAUCAGCAGCAGACCCUCCCUCCCAGACCCUCCCACCUCCUGGACAGCUCACUAAGAAUGCAGCUUCACAAUGAAUGUAAAAUGGAUGCUUUUCAGGAGAUGGGAGGGUCUGGGAGGGAGGGUCUGCUGCUGAUUGGCUGGAAUGUGUCUG